RNAcentral lists this ribosomal RNA (163 nucleotides) under Chaochienchangia falcifolia. RNAcentral describes it as "Aster falcifolius 5.8S ribosomal RNA". It matches the Rfam family "5.8S ribosomal RNA". Rfam says of the family: 5.8S ribosomal RNA (5.8S rRNA) is a component of the large subunit of the eukaryotic ribosome. It is transcribed by RNA polymerase I as part of the 45S precursor that also contains 18S and 28S rRNA. RNAcentral also lists the same sequence under 2 other names. Lineage: Eukaryota; Viridiplantae; Streptophyta; Magnoliopsida; Asterales; Asteraceae. The record is from RNAcentral.
CAAACGACUCUCGGCAACGGAUAUCUUGGCUCACGCAUCGAUGAAGAACGUAGCAAAAUGCGAUACUUGGUGUGAAUUGCAGAAUCCCGUGAACCAUCGAGUUUUUGAACGCAAGUUGCGCCCGAAGCCAUUCGGCUGAGGGCACGUCUGCCUGGGCGUCACG